AGAGUUUGAUCAUGGCUCAGGACGAACGCUGGCGGCGUGCCUAACACAUGCAAGUCGAACGGAGUUCAUUGGAUUGAGGCUUCGGCCAAAUGAGUUUGAACUUAGUGGCGAACGGGUGAGUAACGCGUGAGCAACCUGCCUUUCAGAGGGGGACAACAGUUGGAAACGACUGCUAAUACCGCAUAACACAUCGAGAGGGCAUCCUCUUGAUGUCAAAGAUUUAUCGCUGAAAGAUGGGCUCGCGUCUGAUUAGAUAGUUGGUGGGGUAACGGCCCACCAAGUCGACGAUCAGUAGCCGGACUGAGAGGUUGAACGGCCACAUUGGGACUGAGAUACGGCCCAGACUCCUACGGGAGGCAGCAGUGGGGAAUAUUGGGCAAUGGGGGAAACCCUGACCCAGCAACGCCGCGUGAAGGAAGAAGGCUUUCGGGUUGUAAACUUCUUUUACCAGGGACGAAGACGUGACGGUACCUGGAGAAAAAGCCACGGCUAACUACGUGCCAGCAGCCGCGGUAAU
RNAcentral lists this ribosomal RNA (517 nucleotides) under uncultured bacterium. RNAcentral's name for it is "bacterial SSU rRNA". It matches the Rfam family "Bacterial small subunit ribosomal RNA", at positions 8 to 524 of the family's 1533-position model. The record is from RNAcentral.